GCUGGUGCGACAGGAAGCAGUCGCCGUGCUGCGCCAGCCCGCUCCAGUCGGGUCCCCUGUGCUUCAGCCUGUUGCACCACCACCACCAUGAAGCAGAGGUCAGAAGCUCGAGUCUCCGGCUCCGCCCCAGAAAUCAAACAGUUACAGGAACUAGCAACUCGGAGCAGAAGGUUUCAUCGUCAGAACCCGCCUUCUCAUUUCUGAGAAUCUGUUCUUGGUUCGAUUUUACGAAGCAUUAAGCAGGGCAAAAAGUUGGGAGUAUUUUAAUAAUAUUAGGACGAGGAGUUAGCUCUCCAUGAACGACGAUGGAGAAAUCUGAUAGAGACGAGGCGCGGGCCACCCGUGGUUGGGCACCGCCGUCCGUCCCGGAGCUACCCGGGGAGGGGAGCCCUCUCUGUGUGAACAGAGUGAGGAAACGGGGGUUUCGGAAGAUGGCGGAGAGCUCGGAGGAGUUGAGGAGGAGAGGUCAUUGCCUGCGGGAAAGCUCGAGAACUCGGACCCUCUUCGCCUGAGAGUCGUCCGAGCAGCACAACACCGCCAGUAUCCCACACAUGGUGGCCGGAGGAGGGGGGAGGAGGAGGAGGAGGGGGCCGGGAAGAAGGAGGGGAGCUGGACUGGACUGGCCGGCCGGGAGGGGGGAGGGGAUGAUGAGCAGUAGAAGCUUGCUGCUUGGCGGAGUCCCGUGCGGAUGCACCCGUAUUUAUAGGCGGAGGGGAGCAAGAAGCUCCUCAAGCGGCGCCG
RNAcentral lists this long non-coding RNA (741 nucleotides) under Spirodela polyrhiza (greater duckweed). RNAcentral describes it as "long non-coding RNA (SPOL_LNC001566)". The record is from RNAcentral. Lineage: Eukaryota; Viridiplantae; Streptophyta; Magnoliopsida; Alismatales; Araceae.